Molecule: ribosomal RNA, 435 nt
Filed under: uncultured bacterium
Lineage: Bacteria
Description: partial 16S ribosomal RNA
Rfam family: Bacterial small subunit ribosomal RNA
Source: RNAcentral
AGCGAACGCUGGCGGCAGGCUUAACACAUGCAAGUCGAGCGGGCACUUUCGGGUGUCAGCGGCGGACGGGUGAGUAACGCGUGGGAACGUGCCCUCUGGUUCGGAAUAACUCAGGGAAACUUGAGCUAAUACCGGAUACGCCCAUUUGGGGAAAGGCUUGCUGCCGGAGGAUCGGCCCGCGUCUGAUUAGCUAGUUGGUGAGGUAACGGCUCACCAAGGCGACGAUCAGUAGCUGGUCUGAGAGGAUGAUCAGCCACACUGGGACUGAGACACGGCCCAGACUCCUACGGGAGGCAGCAGUGGGGAAUAUUGGACAAUGGGCGCAAGCCUGAUCCAGCCAUGCCGCGUGAGUGAUGAAGGCCUUAGGGUUGUAAAGCUCUUUUAUCCGGGACGAUAAUGACGGUACCGGAGGAAUAAGCCCCGGCUAACUUCGUG